This 263-nucleotide unclassified non-coding RNA is filed under the name uncultured fungus. Its description in RNAcentral is "partial contains 5.8S ribosomal RNA, internal transcribed spacer 2, and large subunit ribosomal RNA". The record is from RNAcentral. Lineage: Eukaryota; Fungi.
AACGCACAUUGCGCCCUUUGGUAUUCCUUAGGGCAUGCCUGUUCGAGCGUCAAUUCAAACCCUCAAGCUAUGCUUGGUGAUGGACCUACCCGACCAGCGGCGCGUUCUUUCGCCCGCUGGACGGGUUCGCCCCAAAUACAUUCGGCGGUUUAGCACAAACGUUCGAGCGCAGCAGAAACGCGAACUCGGGUGUGAGUGCUGAGCUCCCAGCAAACAAUCUGAAAUUUGACCUCGGAUCAGGUAGGGAUACCCGCUGAACUUAA